This is a long non-coding RNA of Syngnathus acus (greater pipefish), 178 nucleotides long. RefSeq lists it as uncharacterized. The record is from RefSeq and is a predicted model, not a curated record. NCBI's taxonomy places the organism in Eukaryota, Metazoa, Chordata, Actinopteri, Syngnathiformes, Syngnathidae. The transcript has 2 exons.
AUGUGCACAGCUUGCUGGCCUGAAAGACACGGUAAAAAAAUACAGGCCUGUGGACAGAAAAGAGAUAAGCAUUAUCCACUUUGAAACGCAUAGGUAGUUCAGGCUCAAUUUGAAGACUCUCACCUGCAGACAAAAGAAGACAAUUAAAACGCAUAUGCAUUAUUAUGCAUUUGUUUCA